AUUUAAGUAGCUUAUAUAGAGCAUGAUAUUGAAGCUGUCAGGGAAAUAAUUUUUAUUCUUAAAUA
RNAcentral lists this transfer RNA (65 nucleotides) under Ochthebius perpusillus. RNAcentral describes it as "tRNA-Phe". The record is from RNAcentral. Lineage: Eukaryota; Metazoa; Arthropoda; Insecta; Coleoptera; Hydraenidae.